Molecule: long non-coding RNA, 475 nt
Filed under: Citrus sinensis (sweet orange)
Lineage: Eukaryota; Viridiplantae; Streptophyta; Magnoliopsida; Sapindales; Rutaceae
Description: long non-coding RNA (CSIN_LNC001468)
Source: RNAcentral
CGGGAACUCAGGUUGGUGCUGUUGGGUGCUGAUGAUUGCAAGAGUUGGCGUCGCAUGGACCAUCUACAGAGCAAAAACCGGCAAAAACGUUUACUCCGUCGGAAAUUUUGAUCGGAAACGAAGCUGUUUUCGCCGGAGAGGAGAAUUUUUCCCCGGUGACAAGACCCUUUUUCUUCUUUGACUAGAAGGUGAGUCAGUCCAGUCGAUGAAAGAAAGGGAGAGAGAGAAAGAAAAGUUAGUUUGAAUCCAUGUAUUAAAUAAGACUAAAUAAUUGAAUUAAAAUACAGGCACUGGAGCUGGAGCACACCACGCCGUUCUUCCUUCGCAUUCCGAAGAAACGUGAUUAAUUUUUCAUUAAACAAAUGAACUUUUGAUUGUGUCAAUCGAAAACGAUGUACGGACACAGAGGAAACGAUCAUGAUAUGAUGAUGAUGAUACAUGGUCUCCCCCUAGCGAAAACGAGCAUGUAUUAUUA